GGGGUGAAUUGAGUGCAAGGGAUGAGAACGGGAUUGCGCGUGCUGGCUGUCCUCUGUUAUAUAGAAGUGGAGGAACACCCGCUGGCGAAGGCGGCUUUCUGGUCUGUAACUGACGCUGAGGCACGAAAGCGUGGGGAGCAGACAGGAUUAGAUACCCUGGUAGUCCACGCCCUACACGAUGAGUGCUAAGUGUUGGGGGUUUCAAUACCCUCAGUGCCGCAGCUAACGCAAUAAGCUCUCCGCCUGGGGAGUACGCUCGCACUGAGUGAAACUCAAAGGAAUUGACGGGGGCCCGCGCAAGCGGUGGAGCAUGUGGUUUAAUUCGAAUCAUCGCGAAGAACCUUACCAGGUCUUGACAUCCCGCUGACCGCUCUGGAGACUGAGCUUCCCUUCUGGGCAGCGGUGACAGGUGGUGCAUGGUUGUCUUCAGCUCGUGUCGUGAGAUGUUGGGUUAAGUCCCGCAACGAGCGCAACCCUUAUCUUUAGUUGCCAGCAUUCAGUUGGGCACUCUAGAGAGACUGCCGUCGACAAGACGGAGGAAGGCGGGGAUGACGUCAGAUCAUCAUGCCCCUUAUGACCUGGGCUAUACACGUGCUACAAUGGUUGGUACAACGGGACGCUAGCCCGCGAGGGUAUGCCCAUCUCUUAUAACCCAUCUCAGUUCGGAUUGUAGGCUGCAACUCGCCUACAUGUAGUCGGAAUCGCUCAUGAUCUCGGAUUAGCAUGCCGUGGUGAAUAGCUGCCGGGCCUUGUACAACCGCCCGUCACACGUGAGAG
Molecule: ribosomal RNA, 777 nt
Filed under: Brevibacillus sp. P149-5a
Lineage: Bacteria; Bacillati; Bacillota; Bacilli; Caryophanales; Paenibacillaceae
Description: bacterial SSU rRNA
Rfam family: Bacterial small subunit ribosomal RNA
Source: RNAcentral